AGGCAACACCUCAAACAAAAAUAGGCAUAUGUGGACAGACCACCAUUGCCAUGAUCCAACUAGUGAAGGUAAGAAAAUACCAGUUUUCAUUCGGGAGAGCAAGUUCUUUGAACACCAGAUAUUGCCUUCAACAAGGGACAACAAUUUCUUCAUUGCCAGGUAUUGUUACUCAGACAACACCAAGUCGCAAUCGCCAGGUACUCUCACUAUCACCUAGUGAGCUGAAAUCACUGUAGUUUCUAUCCUUUACAAACACCUGCCAGACGUGAACUAGGACCUCCAAACCUUGUCAGCCACUUAGCCAUGCCACCAGAUAUGAAGAAGCAAUAACACACUCUUGAGUUCUUAAGUGCCUCUUUGGGAAGGUUUGAAGGAUAACCUAGUUCGUAGAUCAUGAACUCUGAUCAACAACCACGCCACCAGCUACGAAGAAGCAAUAACACACUCUUGAGUCCUUAAGUGACUCUCUGGGAAGGGUUGAAGGAUAACCUAGUUUGUAGAUCAUGAACUCCGAUCAACAAGGCAAACAUUACAACAAGUCUCUAGAUUAGCAUAUAUGGCCAUGCCAACAAAGGUUGAUGACUCAACCAUGAGAGGUAGCUCACCAAAUCCAUAGGGGAAAAUUCUAUUCGAGAUUUGGAUUACAACCCAAUUUUGACUAAUCAUGUCAUCAUGGGUCCUUGUGCCCCCCCCCCCACACACACACAUACACAUGCUUGAGGUGACAAAUUCUAUGGUUGGCUUCAAGAAUCAAAGGAUUUCAAUGCCCCACAUGCAAAAGAUGAUAAAAAACAAUGACAACAUCCCACAUGCAAGAAGUUUGAAACUAAUAAAAUCUAUAUAUUAUUCUCAAAAGUCAAACUGGGUAUCUAAAUGAAAAUUUGAUUGCAUCAUUGUAUUCCUUACAAACAAAUAAUAUUAAUAAUGUGAACAUAAGACUGAACAUCAUGAAUACUUUUUUAUUGUAUAGGACACAAUAGAAAAUGAACAUCAUGAAUAAAUUAUUGUUUGCAUGAUCAAAUGAUUGCAUACAAUGAAAAAUGAUUUCAAACGGGGAACAAAUGGUUUAGGGUUUAGUCCACAAAGUGAACAAGUAUGGUUUAACACAUUAAUAAACAAUUUUACAUGCAUAAAAAAAUAUCCAUAUCAUGAAUAUUAUUCUUGCUAGUGAACAAAUAUAUUAAAAUUAUUAUUAUCAAAAAAUUAAAGAAAAGAUAAGAAAAAGAAAAAAUUAAAAGAAAUGAAAAGUUAGAAUUCCUGGAAAGAAAAAAUAAAGGAGCAGAAAAAUGAUAACAAAAAAGAAACGAAUAAAUAGAAAUAGAAAUUAUAUGCAAAGAAUUAUAAAAAGGAAUAAUAAAACAAAAGGAGAAGAAAAGAGAAAAUAAAAGAAAACAAAAAAGGAAAAAAAUAAAACAUGGACCUCACUUGGGCCGCAGCCCUACUGGCUUGUGCAAGUGACGACAUGGGCUUCCAGGAUUCGACUUUUUUCCUAGCAAAACCAGUGGAGGGCCUUGCUCGAACCUUGCGAAGUGGUACCACGUGACUGACGACGUCGGCUGCCUGCGCAUCACAGAAGAGAAUUUUGCGGAUUCGGCAUCCGGCCGGCGGGCUUGGGGAUAAGCCCGCGCGCCCGUCCCCUACGGCCCUACAGGCCCCAGCAGCCCAGCGUCCAGCUCCUCCAGCACACCGAUUCCUCGAUCCCUCCCCAGUCCCCACAUCGGCGGUGACCGGAGCUGCCUCACCUCGCCGGAUCCGCCCCAGCUCGAGCGCCCAGGACCUCGCCGGAGCUGCACCACCUCGAGCGCGACGAGCCAGCGGCCCUCCCCUCCGCCGUUGCACCUCGCCUUCACCAGAGAUCCGCACACCGCGAACCGUCACCACCGGUUCAGUGUGGUAUGCCUUCUCCCUUCUUCAGUUCUAUCCAUUAUGGUUAGGAUCUAGGGUAGCACACUAGCAAUAGCAGGCAGUUGCUCCGAUUUGCAGGGUGCACAUGGUACUAUGGAAGUCGAAGUGCUAGUUAGAUUUGUUUCACCUAUUUUUUUUUUUUGUGUGUGUGUGUGCUGGCGAGUAGCUUCUACCAAAGAACAUUUUCUUACAAUUAAAUGCUAGAGCAUCAGGUUCAGAAAUGAGUUAAUUAUGUUGAACCUGAUGCGCUACCAAAGAACUUGUAUAGUAAAUGGAUCACUUGUCUCUCAGCAUAAUUGACUCAUUUGUGAAUCUGAUGCGCUAGCUCAGAAGUUAGGUGUUUUCCGAUGCCUUUUCUGUUAUAUUAUGUAUGGUAUUUACCUGUAGAAACUCUCUUUUACUAUUACAUGUAUAAGCUGCAUUCUUAUGUUAUGGGUAUGUGUGUAUCUAUGUACACUUUCGAAUUUUUAGUUGUAUAUAGUUUGUUAUAGCCAUACCACGAAAUAAAAAAAACCUAAUUACUGGACUUUUAUAUCAUAAAUGCAUUUUUUUCAUAGCUUUGUGCUGAUUUCAGUGGAUCCUGCAUUGUGAAAUGCUUGCCAAAGGGAGGAAGUUAGCUGGAAGGGGUGAAGAAAUGUCUGCACAUUAUGCAUUUGGACCACAGGAGGAUGAUGCGAUUAUUAAGCACAGGCUUCUGACUAGAACGACAACCACCAGGGGUGAACCACCACUAAAGAAGCUUCAGAAGAAGUUCAUGUCCUUUGCCACUGAGAUUGAGAAGGAUGCAGAUAACAUAAGUGACUAUGAGAGACUGUACAAGGCCUUCCUACAGGAAAUUAACACCUUUGAGCUUCCUCUUCUGAAAAGCAAGACUGUUGUUGAUGCAAACAUUAGGGAGAAGGAGAGCUUUAAUGAGCUGCAGGUUGAGAUUGAGCGACAGACCUUGCAAGCUCAGACUGAUAUUGAGGAUCUUAAGAAGCAACUUGAGCAGAGCAAGAUCGAGAGGCAGCACAAAGAGGAGUGUGAAGCAAUCCGAAAGGUGAUUUCUUUGCAGCCUCCACGGUCAGAAACUGAGAAACUCAUUGCAGAUCUUGAGAAGGAGAUUGCUGAUUUGGAGGCUGAGAAUGUAGCAUGUGUAAGGACUUUGGAACUAAGGAAGAAGCAAUUCGCCCUUCUUCUACAUGUGGUGAGUUUAUGCAUAAUGUCUUUUUCUUUGAGGUUGUGUUUUCUCUGUGUAUGUAACAGUGGCUCAUAGAAAUAGAGCACCCAAUUAAUAUAGUAUCUCAAUUCUCAAGUAUGAUGCUUUAUGAAUUUAAGGUGCUGACAUAUUUUAUGAAGUAACUGUCAGAUUAGGAUUAUGAUUAUAUGACUGAUUUCGGAGUUUUACAUGAGUGAUCACCUUUGAUUCUGCGUGAACAUUUAAUUAUCUACCUGCCUUUCUCAUUGGACCGGCAUCCAGUCAUGUGUCUCAUAUAAAUAGAAAGUGUACUUCCUUUUAAAUCAUAAUUCUCGUGCAGUUCUCUCUUGUUGGAAGCCUUCUUACAUAUUCAGAUAGCAUAGUUUAUUCAGCCACCUGUGUAGUAGAUUGACCUGGGAAUGUAUGUUCCUGCGUUUGUACCUUUUACAGGUUGACGAAUUGCAGAUCUCGGUUGAAGAUGAGCAAAAGAGUAUAGCAGAUGAACUGAGAGCCAUCGCUGAAGAGCAGAAGAUGAGCAUAGAAGAAGGCAGCGGCGGUGCUUCAGAUGCCAUGGCUGUAGACUGAUCAAGAUACAUUCACAUAUGUUGCAACCCUUGCUAGCAAAAAUGCACAUUGUUUUUGGGACACAUUAAAUCCUAACAAGUUGGUAGAUGUCUUUUGUCAUGGAUUUAUACCUCAUGUAAAUUGAACAGCAUGUGGCUUGUAAGGCUGGCCAGUCUCAAUGGGAGAUUUCGAGUUUCAUGACAUUAAAUUCUAUGCCACAUCAGCAAUUUUGUUGACUUGGCAAGGCAGUUAUGAGGAGAGAGGAGUGGAGAGUUUCAUCAGAUGAGAGGGGAGUUUCUCAUCCUCACGAAACUAAACAGGCACAGUCACCAUUGAGACUGGCCUGUCUGUCUGCUAUGAAGAGAAACUGAAGCACACAACGAAAGUCAGUUCUCCAUUCUCUGUUGUGCUCUCCAAUAUUUUUGUGCACUGAAUAAUGAUGUACUGUCAUUUUCUGGUUGAAGUGGAAUGGUCAAACUCAGCCGCAUUGAACACGUUCGCUUCUUUCUUUCAUGCAAAACCAUUCGUGGGACGCAACACGGGUCCGAACUGAUAAAACGCAGGAUACUUUUCAUGCAACUCAUGAGAGGUUUCCUUAAAAAUUCUUAUGGGUUGAGGAGUUCUAUAGGAAUUGGAAUUUCAUAUGAUUCUAAUGGCUCUCAAAUUCUUUGCUCCAAAGGACCUUGUACGAGAAAUUCCUAUAGAAUCAUAAUGGUGUUAGGUUCCUAAAAAAAUCCUUUGUUCCAAAGGAGACCUAAUAUUUAGGGGAGGAAAUCACAUCGUUCUUCAAAUUUUGCAUGUAGGACAUGGACAAUUCGCAGUGUCCACCAUGCAAAAUCAACGAGCAGUGUGUCCAGGAGGCCAAACAACAUUUUUUUUUUAUUGUUCCAGUUAGAGUUAGUUUGCUUUCUACAAUUUUAACUUGCUAACUUCUUAAUCUUUCUAAUUCAUUCGUUUAUCAUAAGCUAGGCAAAGAAUGUGCUGCGACAUUAAAUUAAUCAUGCAAGAAUGUGCCACGCAUUUGUGCAAAGGUCACCCAUCAUCCUUUUCAUUUCCUUCAGCAAAUGUCAAGAGCUUAUCAUGAGCCCCCGUUGCACAACAUCUAGUGCCGGGCAUGUGUCCAUUGGCACUGCACUAGACGACGAUGACUGGGCCUAAUUACAUCGUUUUGACUACUCAUCGUAGCCACUCUCUCAAAAGGGAGACCUCGAGUCCAUUUAGGACAUGGAAAGGGGCACUUUGGAAUCCCGGAAUCCAGCCACCUUUGCCCUCACGCUCGCUUUGAGAGUUGAGACUCUCGCCCAUCAUUGCCCGUUACGUGGCUGCUUGGAGCGUUCGUAGUUUAUGGCUCACGCGUGCAGCUUUGCCUGCUCUCCUGGGGACAAUGCCGCCAUGUUCAUUGCCGUGCCGCCCUUGGAUGCAUCAUACUGCUACUCGAUUUAAUUUUUUUUUUCCUUUUCUCUCUUUUUUACCUUUUUAAAAUAAGUCAUUCCAACAUUGGAAAUGGCGUGCAAGGAGAAUAAAAGGAGUGGUUCAUUGAAGGGCACAAAAAGCUGAAGAAUUGGCAGCCCAUUUCGGGGAGAAUGUCACAAAGUUUCAGGGUUGGCUAUCCAUUCCUCUCAAUUUAAAUAUCCCCGACGUACAUCUUAUCCGGCUCGUUGUUAUUGGGUCGUCAGCACAAUCAUGAAGACGCAAUUCUAUCUCGCUCUCUUGAAAGCGAAGAAAGAAGGAACUCAUCGUAGGAGACGAUAUCAUGUGUGCACGGAGGGUCAACGUCGUUUUCUCUAUACGCGCCUAAUAACCCUGUUAUUAAUUCCUUUGUCAUGUCGUCACACGCGUAUAGUUUUUUUUUUGCCCCAAGCCUACCGAAUAUGUUAUCCCUAUCUCUAAUAACAAGAUUCUAGGGAAUUCAAAAUUCAAAUUAGCUCAAGGAAGUGACGUUGCGGAUAUAUUUUUUUUCAGUAAAGGAAACAAAUGUCGCAGCCUUUUCAUUUUGCAAUGCACGCAACCUGGUCUUUAUUACAAUUUUCAUUCAGAAGCAAUGUUCGGAGAAAAAUAAGACAUUAUGUAUGUGGAUAAAUCAAUCAUGAAAUAGUAUAUAUUAUUAAAUGAGUGGAUUUCAUAUGUGGUCCGUAAACUUGUCCUAAGUUCGCAUCCAAAUCCACAAACUAUAUAUCCAAAUGAGCUCUUUUUUUCUUUUGAAAGAUCAUAUCCAAAUAUAGUAAAUAGCUCCAUAGCUUUGCUUGCAACAAUGCCUAGAAAUGCAGGCCAUAGAUUUCCAUAAAAAGGAUAAUUGAUAAUAGUAAUAUGUUUGGAUUUGUCAAAAAUCAGAUCGUGCCAUCUGCCAUGCGUAUAGUAUUAGCCACCACGAAGCACGAUGCCUAUCUUUUGAUAUUUCUCCCCACACCCAAAAUGUUACCGGCGGUGAUGAAACGCUAAACUCGGUCACUAUCCUCAAAUUAGCAAAUGAGAUCCGAGUAACCAAUGAAGCAAUCAAAGAGGUCGAUAGGAUGACAAGGCAACAACACAGAUAUAUGCAGACGCCCUACGGUACCCGAUCUGUUACUGUGAUCUCGUGACCGCUAGCAACAAGAGAAAGAAAAAGGGAGCUCACCGGCAAGGCGGAGGGGCGCCGACGGAGAAGGCCGGCCGGCCGUGGAGACGGGACUGUUGGGUGAUGGCGCAAGCUGCCGCCUUGCCGGCGCCAUGUAGGCCUGGGGCUAGGGGCAGGGGCAGUGGGCACUUCGGCGACGCCGACGUGGUUUGUAGCCUUGCGAUUAUGGCGGUGGGGACGAUGACACGGCCGAUGGAACGCGAGCCUAUCCACAAUGG
RNAcentral lists this long non-coding RNA (6478 nucleotides) under Setaria italica (foxtail millet). RNAcentral describes it as "long non-coding RNA (SITA_LNC007128)". The record is from RNAcentral. Lineage: Eukaryota; Viridiplantae; Streptophyta; Magnoliopsida; Poales; Poaceae.